Molecule: ribosomal RNA, 463 nt
Filed under: uncultured Alphaproteobacteria bacterium
Lineage: Bacteria; Pseudomonadati; Pseudomonadota; Alphaproteobacteria
Description: bacterial SSU rRNA
Rfam family: Bacterial small subunit ribosomal RNA
Source: RNAcentral
GGGCGGCCGAUGUCCGAUUAGCUUGUUGGUGGGGUAAUGGCCCACCAAGGCGACGAUCGGUAGCUGGUCUGAGAGGAUGAUCAGCCACACUGGGACUGAGACACGGCCCAGACUCCUACGGGAGGCAGCAGUAGGGAAUAUUGGACAAUGGGCGAAAGCCUGAUCCAGCAAUGCCGCGUGAGUGAGGAAGGCCUUAGGGUUGUAAAGCUCUUUCGGCGGGGACGAUGAUGACGGUACCCGCAGAAGAAGCCCCGGCUAACUUCGUGCCAGCAGCCGCGGUAAUACGAAGGGGGCGAGCGUUGUUCGGAAUUACUGGGCGUAAAGGGCGCGUAGGCGGCCAUCUUUGUCAGGCGUGAAAGCCCUGGGCUCGACCCAGGAAUUGCGCUUGGGACGGGACGGCUUGAGUUCGGGAGAGGAGAGUGGAAUUCCCAGUGUAGAGGUGAAAUUCGUAGAUAUUGGGAAG